RNAcentral lists this long non-coding RNA (244 nucleotides) under Capsicum annuum. Its description in RNAcentral is "long non-coding RNA (CANN_LNC014468)". The record is from RNAcentral. Lineage: Eukaryota; Viridiplantae; Streptophyta; Magnoliopsida; Solanales; Solanaceae.
UCAUGAUCUUAUGAACUCAGUCAGUUGUCUGAUGUCAGUAGUAUUCCGUCAGUCAACGAAAGUCAGUAACUCAGUCCAUGUUCAGUUCAAUAAAUCAUGUUCAAUGUCUAUUCAGAUGAGAGUAGAAACUAGCACCAAGUGAACCCAAGGAUGGGAACUCCCCUGUUAUAUGAGGGUGAUUCUUAAAAGCAAUCCUUGCGUUCUAAAACUAUAUAGCCAGCAUAGGUUGAGACAUCAUAGCCUG